RNAcentral lists this unclassified non-coding RNA (298 nucleotides) under Hevea brasiliensis (rubber tree). Lineage: Eukaryota; Viridiplantae; Streptophyta; Magnoliopsida; Malpighiales; Euphorbiaceae. The record is from RNAcentral.
UUAACUCAUCAAUUUUUCAGAGGAUGUUCAAUGACAAUUUCUAAAUCUUUGGCGGCCAGCCAUGGUAACCAAUAUUCUCUCGAAACUUGUGGUAUUUAGUUACUCUCAAUGGUCGUUGAAAGGGAGAUUCAAAACUGCAAAUUUUUUAAUACUCAAGCUAAGAGAUUUGAGUUUGGAAUGAAAAGUGAGAUUUUCGGCCCAAGCUACCUGGUUGGGAUCUUAAAUUUGUCAAGCCAGUAGCAGGGGCUUUGCUAUAUUGAAGAAUCUGUUGCAGUUUUUUAGCUAAUCAUAAUUUGAG